Long non-coding RNA from Melozone crissalis (California towhee), 841 nucleotides. RefSeq lists it as uncharacterized. Lineage: Eukaryota; Metazoa; Chordata; Aves; Passeriformes; Passerellidae. The record is from RefSeq and is a predicted model, not a curated record. The transcript is spliced from 6 exons.
CCGUCUCUCUCCUGCAUCCUCGGAGACCAGAGUCUCGCUGCGUUUCUCCCUUCCCAAAGCGAGAGCCCGCGGGCGUUGGCGGCGCCGCGGUCUGACAGGGGAGCGGGAGCGGAGCCGUGCCGGGAUUAAGUCACUCUCGCAAGGUCACGCGGUGAAUCGCUGCCGCUGCCAAGAAUAGCGCCCCGAGUCUCUUGGCUCUCUCGAGCCCACCCGCAGCACUCCAGCCUCCUUUCCUCGGGUUAUGAAGCUUUCUGCAGCAAGAUUUGAAGCAGCCAAAUUCCAGCUUAGAUCAAAGUCCCUAGGAUUCACUUGUGAUUUCCGCCGGCUGUAACUGAAGCCUCAGUUGCCGUGAUGAUGCUCCCGGGGCAGAGCCCGAUGGCAUCUGCAGAGGGGGGCAUGGAGAACAAGGGACCCCGAGGCACAGGGAGGGACUGCAGCCCCUGUGCCCCCCUCCCCACGGAGAGACAGCAGAACAUCGUGGUGCCCUCAGAGCCAGCACGGCGCAGACAUCUCCAACAGCUAUCCCUGCCUCUGUGCACAUGCCUUGGUGCACAUGUGUCUGCCUGAGCGCUGCCGUGUUUGGAGCUGUGUGGUGGCUCUGUCAGGACCCAGGAAUGCAGCCUCAGGAACAGAACCCUGCACAGGCGAACGUGGCAGAACCUGGGCAGUGUCUGCAGCAGCAGUUAGGAAUCUGGGACUGGGAGCUGACUGUACUUGCAUUCCCAGGAGGACAAAUCACGGCCUCAAUUGCCAGGAAUAAUGCCCAGAUUUGUGGUGCUGAGAAGGUGAAGCUGCAGCGUGAGCCCCCCUGGAAUCCUCGUUGUAGGAGAAAUGCUCUGGG